RNAcentral lists this long non-coding RNA (2037 nucleotides) under Triticum aestivum (bread wheat). RNAcentral describes it as "long non-coding RNA (TAES_LNC007489)". Lineage: Eukaryota; Viridiplantae; Streptophyta; Magnoliopsida; Poales; Poaceae. The record is from RNAcentral.
AAAACUCCCAGGGAAGACGACAACAAAGGUAAUCAAGGCAAAACAUACCAUUAAAUCUGCCAACAUCCUUGGUUGUUCUAGAACUAGUGUAUUUCCCUUUAUGUACCUACCCCUUGAUCUACUGCUUGCAAAAUUUGCCCCUGUACUGAAUUGUUGUUGCAGAACCUGACAUGAAUCUUGUCCCCCUGUUCUUGCCUCCCCCCUACACCUGCAGAACUGAAAAUAUUGUUGGCAUGAAGGAAAACUACUGCCUCUUGAAAACACAUCAUGUUUAUUGGCUUGCACGUUGCUUCUGCAAAACAAACAGGAAACAUAGUUUUGUGUGUUAAUAAUCUGUGCAUGGUAAGAACUGCUUCAAGAAAAAGCUAGGAAAAAGCUAUUGUACUAACGCAGUUGCUUAAAAAAAGCUAGUUACUUUAGACUAAAUUGCUUACAAAAACACAAAAUAAAAACUCCAGGAAAGAAGCCUGAAACUAUUAGUAGAAAAAAAAUCAUGAAUCCAUAUGAAUACUGCUCACUGAGUUUGGGUGUGUUCUGGUGAUUUUUGAAAAAUAAUGCCCCUGUUCAUUGAGUUUUUUUCUUCUCAAAACGUGUUUUCAUUUACAUUAUGUCGCUUCCGAAAUAAUUCCUACCCUACUUUUUGUUUUCUAAAAUGUGCAGAUGUCCAGCCUUGACCACAAUGAGCUCCCCCAUGACUUUGAUGACUGUGAUGGUGGUCCCAUGUAAUGCACACAAGCUCGACCUGAGAAGGUCCCUAUUUCUAUCGAGGGGGUAGGCGAGCCGCCGGAUUGGUGUUCUGCUCCUGUCGAAGAUGUUGUCGGUGUGGGGUUUCAUGUUGCAGCGGCAGCUGCUACUGGUGCGUCUGAUGCGACUGCAACUGUUGAAACUAUCCUGCCAGCACCUGCCAUGUUCAGCCCGGCUGGAACAGAUAGUGGGCCAGGUCGAGUCAACCUGUCACCGAGGGGGCGGGGAGGUGAGUGUGUCCUCGCGUUAGGCGAUUCGGUUGGGAGUUUUCGGUGGUUUCAGACGACUUGAUUAGUCGGGUGAGGCUACCUAGGGGUCAUCGAAGUGGGGGCGGCGAGUGCAUCCUUUGUGUUAGGCAAUUCAGUUGGGGGUGUUCGAUGGUUUUGGGCGACUUGGUUCGUCAGGUGAGGCGACCUAGGGGUCACCGAGGGGACGGGGAGGCGAGAGCGUCCUCGUGUUUGGCNNNNNNNNNNNNNNNNNNNNNNNNNNNNNNNNNNNNNNNNNNNNNNNNNNNNNNNNNNNNNNNNNNNNNNNNNNNNNNNNNNNNNNNNNNNNNNNNNNNNGCGACUUGGUUCAUCGGAUGAGGCGACCUAGGGGUCAGCGAGGUAGGGGGAGGCGAGUGUGUCCUUUGUGUUAGGCGAUUCGGUUGGGGGUGUUCGGUGGUUUUGGGCGACUUGGUUCCUCGAGUGAGGCGACCUAGGGGUCGCCAAGGUCGGCGGGAGGCGAGUGUGCACUCGUGUUAGGCAAUUCAGUUGGUGGUGUUCGGUGUCUAGGCAGUAUAUUUUGGGCAUCCUUGAUUGUUGUGGGCUACUUUAUCUACUAUCCACUAUAAGAAAAGGGGGUGUGUGAGCACAUGGAAUAAUCCUAAAAAGUCCAUCGUUGGUAGAAAAAAAGUAUAUGUGUAUAAAAAAUAUCAGAAUAAGAUGUAUGGGGGGUGGGGGUUGUGUUGGGGGCUUUGCCUGUUAUCUUGCUUUGGGCUUGCCUGUUAUCUUCCUAAGUCGUGGCAAUGUUGCGGGAACACGUAGGAGACAGGAAAAAGGAGCAAAAAAGUGUGUCGACUGUACCUCGCCAUUCUGUUGAUCUGGGUAGUCAUCCAUCAUAAAAACUACCACUCGAGGGUUACUGAAAAAGAUGCCCUCCCCCGUAGUUUUUCACUUUUGGUUUUUGCCUGCAUUUGAAAUGAAAUAUGAUUUAGAAAACAGGUGUGGAAAAACCCCUUUGCCGACUACUCGAAGCAGCAAACCUUGCCGACGUUAAAGCAUCGUGAAUUCAGAAUUCACUACUUCUCAUCAU